UACGGAGGGAGCUAGCGUUGUUCGGAAUUACUGGGCGUAAAGCGCACGUAGGCGGCUUUGUAAGUUAGAGGUGAAAGCCCGGGGCUCAACCCCGGAACUGCCUUUAAGACUGCAUCGCUUGAAUCCAGGAGAGGUGAGUGGAAUUCCGAGUGUAGAGGUGAAAUUCGUAGAUAUUCGGAAGAACACCAGUGGCGAAGGCGGCUCACUGGCCUGGUAUUGACGCUGAGGUGCGAAAGCGUGGGGAGCAAACGGG
This 253-nucleotide ribosomal RNA is filed under the name uncultured bacterium. RNAcentral describes it as "partial 16S ribosomal RNA". It matches the Rfam family "Bacterial small subunit ribosomal RNA", at positions 524 to 776 of the family's 1533-position model. The record is from RNAcentral.